This 492-nucleotide ribosomal RNA is filed under the name uncultured bacterium. RNAcentral describes it as "partial 16S ribosomal RNA". It matches the Rfam family "Bacterial small subunit ribosomal RNA", at positions 29 to 507 of the family's 1533-position model. The record is from RNAcentral.
AGUGAACGCUGGCGGUAGGCCUAACACAUGCAAGUCGAACGGCAGCACAGUAAGAGCUUGCUCUUACGGGUGGCGAGUGGCGGACGGGUGAGGAAUACAUCGGAAUCUACUUUUUCGUGGGGGAUAACGUAGGGAAACUUACGCUAAUACCGCAUACGACCUACGGGUGAAAGCAGGGGAUCUUCUGACCUUGCGCGAUUGAAUUAGCCGAUGUCGGAUUAGCUAGUUGGCGGGGUAAUGGCCCACCAAGGCGACGAUCCGUAGCUGGUCUGAGAGGAUGAUAAGCGACACUGGAACUGAGACACGGUCAAGACUCCUAAGGGAGGCAGCAGUGGGGAAUAUUGGACAAUGGGCGCAAGCAUGAUCCAGCCAGACCGAGUGGGUGAAGAAGGCCUUCGGGUUGUAAAGCCCUUUUGUUGGGAAAGAAAAGCAGCAGGUUAAUACCCCGCUGUUCUGACGGUACCCAAAGAAUAAGCACCGGCUAACUUCGUG